RNAcentral lists this ribosomal RNA (409 nucleotides) under Actinomycetes bacterium. Its description in RNAcentral is "Actinobacteria bacterium partial 16S ribosomal RNA". It matches the Rfam family "Bacterial small subunit ribosomal RNA", at positions 355 to 776 of the family's 1533-position model. The record is from RNAcentral. Lineage: Bacteria; Bacillati; Actinomycetota; Actinomycetes.
UGGGGAAUAUUGCACAAUGGGCGGAAGCCUGAUGCAGCGACGCCGCGUGGGGGAUGAAGGCCUUCGGGUUGUAAACUCCUUUCGACAGGGACGAAGCUUUUGUGACGGUACCUGUAUAAGAAGCACCGGCUAACUACGUGCCAGCAGCCGCGGUAAUACGUAGGGUGCGAGCGUUGUCCGGAAUUACUGGGCGUAAAGAGCUCGUAGGUGGUUUGUCGCGUCGUCUGUGAAAUUCCGGGGCUUAACUCCGGGCGUGCAGGCGAUACGGGCUGACUUGAGUGCUGUAGGGGAGACUGGAAUUCCUGGUGUAGCGGUGAAAUGCGAAGAUAUCAGGAGGAACACCGAUGGCGAAGGCAGGUCUCUGGGCAGUAACUGACGCUGAGGAGCGAAAGCAUGGGUAGCGAACAGG